UCGUGCCCUAGGAAUCCAUUUAUGCACUCCUUGGGAGAACUGUACAGCAGUCAUGGGGAACACACCCAUCCUAGAGACAAAAGAAUCGUGCUUUCCCAGAGCUGAGCCUCCUUCUGCCAAGAAUGAACCUUUAUCAUGAUUGCUGUACUGAAAAGUGAGACACAGGAAGUUCCUAGGUCUACCUGCCAGCAGCAGGAUAUAUUCCCAGAAAAUCAAUUAUACAUGUAAGCAAAAAUAUCAUGGAGAUUAAAGAACAUAUGAAAGAGCAAGCUCAACUCUUCUUUCAGAACACUGUGAAUCAAGAGUAACUUCACUGAAACCAAUGAGUUACAGUGGUGUGAGUGAGAAAAGAACCAGCUCCAUUGUCUGAAAAUUACUCGGACCACCCAUGGAGUCCAAUCACAGGAACUGCAGGCAGCUAAUAUUGCAGCAUUUAAUUCAGAAAGGCCAAGACUGAAAAGAGAAGACUGAAA
Cyanistes caeruleus (blue tit) is the source of this 473-nucleotide long non-coding RNA. RefSeq lists it as uncharacterized. NCBI's taxonomy places the organism in Eukaryota, Metazoa, Chordata, Aves, Passeriformes, Paridae. The record is from RefSeq and is a predicted model, not a curated record.